AUUGAGAGCGUUCUUAACAACUGACAACAGCCCAUUGGAGGUAACAUUGCCUAAUGGGCUAAUUACAAUUCAUAAGCCUUCGAGGUAACCAGCUGUAGGAAAUGGCUGCUACGAAGACUCAAAGAAUCCAAGAAGCCACGUCCUGGUGUCAGGUGCAGAUCUUCAGCCUGAUGGGUCGUCGGAGGUGGUGGUGUUCAGCUGACGACUCACGACGACAUACCAACUUAUUUGUAAGUCCAAAGUCCCAGCACUCAGCCGCCUGCCGGCACUGCCCCACAGCUGUGCCUGUGCGCCCCUGGGGGCAGGAGCACAGGAGAGGCCCCUUCCGUGGGGACAGAGCUCUCUCCCUGCACCCCACCACUGCGCAGCCCCGAGCUGGGAGGGGGGACUGAGAGGGGCGGUCAGAUGGGCAGCAGCCCAUCACAGACGACACGCAGG
This 438-nucleotide long non-coding RNA is filed under the name Gallus gallus (chicken). RNAcentral's name for it is "lncRNA (ENSGALG00010000164.1)". Lineage: Eukaryota; Metazoa; Chordata; Aves; Galliformes; Phasianidae. The record is from RNAcentral.